CCUCAGGGGUCUCCGAGCCUAUCUCCUCUGUCUGUCCACGCCUCUCUGGGCCUGUUUCCUCAGUUGUGCAGCAAAGGGGUUAGGUGGUGAGGUCUCUGGGACCUUUUAGUCCACCUCCUUUAGUUCCAUGGAUAGAAGCAUUUUGUGGGACACAUCGCGUUUCUGCCAAGUGCUACAGCUGAACCCCAUAUUCAUAAAAGCACCCUGACAGCCUUUCUCCAGCAUCUUCCAAAAAACAAAACCUGAGCACUCAAAGCUGCAUCACCCCAUGUGGCCUUGCCCCCAGAGAAGCAUCUGCCAGUUUGGGCAUGGAGGAACAGAAAGUGGGCAGGGAAUUCUCCUUGGCUCCUUAGAAGGCAGUGGGAGCCCGGGGAAGCGUUCGGCCCCAGUGCAGCCUAAUUGGGAGGGAGGGAUGGGUAGAGGCUGGCUGGGCUUCUCCUUCCUCACCCUCAUGCAAGGUGGCUGCCCCUCUGGCUCCUUCAGAGCUCUUCCCUUCCAAGUUCCUACUGAGAAAUAAGAAGGCACAAAGGAAAAUCAGCCACCUCCUGGAGGUCACUAUGGGCCGCCUGCUUCGCUAAAAGCCAAGCACAGACCCCUGCAUUCUCCCUGCAGGAGAGCCCACCCGGCUCAGAAGAAAGCAAUUCUGCCUGUGGGGAGGAGAGGAAGGGAGGGGAGGGGAGGACACAUGGUGAGGUGGAAGCAGGGAGCAGAGCUGCUCCAUCCCUCCUCUCCUUCCCUGCCAGAAAUGCAAUUAAGCAAGCGGCCCAGACUCAGCCGCACAGACAGCGCUUCCUGCUGGGGGAAGUCAAAAGGGCUGUAGCAGUGGGAAAGGGAGGUCAUCGGGCCCCAGAUCUAAUUAACCAACCUGCCUUGCUUUUGACGUUGCUGCAUUUCCUCUAUUAACAUUAAUGAUGGUUGGUCUGAAUGUCCAAGCAUGGCCAGAAGCUUCCCUCCCCACCACCCAGUAGGUAGCACAGCCUGUCCCUGGGACCAAUAUCCAGUCUCCGUGGCAACCGCCUCCUGAAGAUGCUUUAAAGAGAUCUGACCCUGUCAGAGUUGUUGGGAGCUUCAGAGGAGGGAAAAUGGAGUGUGGCGGAUUCAUCAUUAAAUCUUGAAGCAUCAAAGUCCUCUGAGACAAAAGAAAUAUUUUGUCAUGCACCAGGAAGGUGGAGGCAGGCUUAAGGGCUGGCCUUGGGUGGUUUGGUUCUACCACAGGGUUUUCUUCAUCCCUUCUGGGGAGGAAGUGGAAGGGGCAGCUCUGAGCUUCUUGUUUGAGCUGCAGAGUGGUAGACGCAGGAAGCUGGCAUGCAUUUCUAGGUGCCAUGGGUCUUCACUGCUGAAGCAGUGACACAGAGAAAGGGAAUUGCCCACGGAGUGAGGGAGGGGUGACCAGAGGAGGACUGCAGAAGUGACACUGGGAAAGCUCAGCAGGUGACAGGAACAUUAGUCUGGAGAGGCCAGAGUCCCCACACCCCAGCACCAUGCAGAUUCCCUGCCCUGUAUCUCAUCUACCUUGGGCGCUAAGCAAGGUUCCCAUGGGCUCUCCCAGCAGCCAGGAGAAUGCAUCUGCCUUGCCCUCCAGGCCAGGCUAGAUGCACUUGGAGAGACCUGGCCUCUGGCACACAGGGCCUGGGAACACUGAGCAGCCCAGGAUAGGACAUCGUUCCUCCCGAGUCUCACAGUGUGACAAUCCCAAAAAACGAGGAACCAAGGGCUAAGGCAGGCUGACGCUCCGGAGUCCGCUGCUCUCUGUGCGUCACAGGCAGGAAGUCCAGCUACCUGCAGCCACUGGGGGGUGUGGUGGGAGCCAGGCCCUCCAGCUCUGGGCGGCGCGCCUUCCUCCACGCUGGAUUCAUUUGUUUGUGGGAGGGAGGGCAGCACAACUUUGACAGUCCCAUCUGCUCUGCCUUUGGUGACAUCCCAAGGUGAGGUCAGUAUUCUCUGCCCUCAAGGCCCUCUCAGAGGUCUGAGAAUUUUUGAUGGAUCUUACAAACCAAAACCAAAGAAAUCCAACAGAAAAAAAUACCAGAAAAUAUUACUAUAGCCUGGACUAUUUUAGAGUUUACGACACUCAGCUGUCCAGUUACACGGUCUGUAUUCCACAGGGAUAUGGACAACAUGCCCUCACAUACACACACGCGCACCCACUCCCACCCUCUGGCACCCAUCCUCCCCUGCGCUGUGCAUGAGGGAGCAGCCCAAGAGGCUCUGUCCUCUCUGUGGUGCUGUGGACGGAGCUGCGGCUCUCUCCCGGCUCUCUCCAAUGCUGGGUUCCAUUCCAGCUGCACUCCCAGAGCUGGGUCCUGGUGGGCAGCAGAAUUCUUCGGGCUCCUUAGGCAGCUUCCUCAUGGCCGGAUGGUCCAGUACUGCUUCCCAGCUGGCUCUCCUGGGAAGUUCCUGGACCCAGGCUGGAAUCUUUGCAGUGGCCUCAAAAGUCCCAUGAGUCCAGCCACCUUAGUCCUGCCAUUGGACUUUGGGGGUCCUGGGCCAGGGGACCAACCAUCCCAUAAGCCAGAGGGUGG
This 2522-nucleotide long non-coding RNA is filed under the name Pan troglodytes (chimpanzee). Its description in RNAcentral is "long non-coding RNA NONPTRT004869". The record is from RNAcentral. Lineage: Eukaryota; Metazoa; Chordata; Mammalia; Primates; Hominidae.